This 2228-nucleotide long non-coding RNA is filed under the name Helianthus annuus (common sunflower). RNAcentral's name for it is "sRNA HanXRQr2_Chr05g0227831". Lineage: Eukaryota; Viridiplantae; Streptophyta; Magnoliopsida; Asterales; Asteraceae. The record is from RNAcentral.
GUCUUCUCAAAUACACUUUUUGACAAACCCUAGAUCAGUACGCCAGUUCUUCUUCUUCAUUAUUCGUCGCUGAUAUAUAAUCCAAAACUGAAAAAACUGAUCGGUUGCAUCAGGUAUGUUGGGAAGAAGAUAGAUAUGGCAACGAAUGAUGGCGAAGAGAUAAGCUGUGAUGGGUUGGGUUGCAUCAGCCUCCUUCGAAGUCAACAACAGUAAUUCAAGUUGCAAUACUUGCUGGUCAACGUGAUACGCCUCCUUUAGAGUCAACAGCAGCAGCCGGAGUUACAACUUCUGUAGGUUAACAUGGAACUUCUGCACUGUCUUAAUGCUCAAUAGGGUCAACGUCAAAUCAAAGGUUACGAUAGUCGAUUGAAGUUGUGCAGUCAAAAAAUAGAGAUUACAAAAGAUUACCCUUACAGGUAAUAGUGAUCUAUAAUUUGUAGCAAAAUAAGUUUACAUGUUAAGAUCAAGAUGGGAAGGAAAAACUUCCGAUUAAAAGGUCAAGAAGAAGCCUCGGCAGUUUAAAUAUGAUUACUGGCAAGAAUAAUGAACUGAACAAAGCAGGUGCAUCUGCUAACGGAGCUUAUCCCAAAAGGUCUAAAAAAUAUGAGGAAAGAGUUGCAGAUUAAGAUGGCUAAACUAUCUGAUACCCAAUGUUAAACAUGGUCAAUUCACUGGUGAUGAAGACAAGAUGAUCUGCAGUUUGUAUGCUAAUUUUGGUAGCAGGUUCAGAUGGCUUUGAAUUCGGGUUGGUUUUGGGUUGCAGUAUGCAACCAUGCCGAAGCUCCACCAUGUGGAUGUAAUUAAAAAGAAUUAUUUUAGGCUGCUCUUUGUUCUACACAGCUUGAUCAUGUUUAUUGAAAGUUGGUGCCUUUGCAGUUCUACAUAGCUUGAUCAUUGUUCUACACGACUCUUCGUCAAUCCUAACGUGUACCCUCAAAAUCUAACAUCUGAAACCGGGGACCCCAAAACAAUCGGCCAAACAGUGAUGAUGAUGGUUAUGAAUGCAAACGGCAGCGGUAUCAAGGAGUUGUAGCGGCGACCGUCUAGGGGUUAAGCGUGUGGAGACACUGAUGACUGUAUUUCAACUUCUGAGGCUGAAGAAAUGACCGUAAAACUUGAGGAAUAUUAGAUUAAAAAUCUACCUAGACCUGGACAAGUGAAUUUUUAUCAAUGGAGGCCCCUAUAUGCUAGGUACUCAUUUCUUAUACAAAGCUCUCUUAACUUAUUAGAACUCAUAUACAAAUUAGGGGUGUUAAAUGGGUCAUGUUCAUGAUUUGACUUAUCAAAACCAACACGACAUGAACCCGUGAAAAUCGUUCUAAAGAUGACAUUCUUGUAUCUAAUGAAUGCCUCACAUAUGACCAAUAUGCAACAGUUAGCCAAAUUCAUAGAUAUUCAACAACUCUCCUACGGUUUCUUAAUAAUAUAUUGGACAAAUGCAGUGUAAUAUUGUAAAAGAAUUAUAACCUGAAUUUAGAGAGAAAUAAUAUUGUCUCAUAGUAUAUAAGUUAUAUUCUAACAAAGUUACGAAUUGCAAAAAAUUAUGUAGUAACUCUUACAUAAAGUUUACUAAUGCUUUAGCUUCAUUAGUGUUUGUUUAUAUUGAUUGAAUUGUUUCGGAGGUAAUGUGCUUUUUUACCCUUUUCAAAAUCUUUGACAAAUACUUAGUGAGUUAUUAUAACUACAAAAACAAUAUUAUUAACUUUCGAUAUGUUUUUUAUCGAAAAGUUUAUAGAUACUUAUAAUAUUUUGAAUUUUCGAACAACAAUUUUUUUCCACCUAAAUAUGACAUAACCUUGAAUCUUUAUGAUUGUUGCAUUUUCAUGGGACGUUGGGUGCAUUCCGCGUGAAAGAAGAUGACAAACGGUGUGACUCCUUUGUUGGUGCUCUCCUAAUAACGAUUGUUGACGACCAAUCCAUUAAUAGAGGUACUUGACACCUUUGCAGAGAUCCAAGACAGUCAUAUUGUCGUAAGAGAAGUGGAAAGGAAGCUUCUUGAGUUGCAACAAGUGUGUAUAUGUGUAUAUAAAAGGAUAAUGUUAACAGAAUACUUUAUUUAAUCCAUGAUUAUAAGUAUGUAUUAAUCAUAAAUAGUUUUUAACAAAACUAACUUUCACAAGGUAAACUAAUAAUAGAAACUUUUGUGGGUCCAAGUUAGAGACUAAAUGUGUCUAAGUAUGGUGUUUUACGUGUUGUAGCUUUGUAAAGAAUUGAGAAGAGGGCAUGUU